UAGGUUUCUAUUGGUGCAAUGACAUCAUCAUUACGGCAUAACCUAACACAUACACAGAACAUAAAGGUAAAAAAGAGCACAUAAAUUGUAACUGUGUAUGCCCUUUUCAGUUAUUUCAUUUUUCAACUAUAAAAAAAUCUCCCACCCAACUUGAAGCUUUGAUUAAUUUUGUUAACUGCCUAAAAGUUCCUGGGAUUACUGAUUUUCCAAAGAAAAACGCACGAGUUUGCUCCAAUCAUGUCAAAGAUACAGAGCCCACAUUACAAAAUUCUCAUCCCACUGAAAACCUUUGAUGCGAUUUUAAACAUAAAGUUGUUACUUUGUGCCCUAGUUCUCAACCAGAUAUCCACAUAAGGCAUAUCCACAGAACAUAAAGAAAAAAGUGCAUUAAAUCUAAUUAUUCAUCCGCUAUUCAGUUAUCUCCUAAAUCAAAUAUAUUUCUGAAUAAAAGUUCUUACAACAUGGAUAUUUAAGAAUAGUAAUCUAAAUAUUAAUACUGCAGUGAAUAUUAUUAGUGUCGUUUCACUUUCGUUUUUGGGGUAGUUUCUAGACUUUUCUAAACGCGGUAUUAUAUUCCACGCCGUCUUUCAAGCAAGGUUUUCAAGCAAGUUAGAGUUGAUAUAUUUUUAGUUUUAAGGAGAAUUGAUGUUUUCCAUUGUUUAAAAACUAAAACAAAAAUUUAAAUAAUUGUUUGUUUGUUGUUGGUUGUUUUUCACUUUUCUAAUUUUUAUAGCCUGUUUUCAUUAUUCAGAAGAAAUUACAACUAAAAUGACUGAGCAGUAAGAGGAGCUGAUGUCGUUUUUAGUUCGUCAUAUGACGCAUUAAUACAAUGUAAAAGAUCAAAGUUAUCAUGUUUUUUAAAAAUUUGUUAUACACGUGUUUGAUUGUGAAAUUAGUUUUUUUAGUUUGAAACGUAUUUGUACUCAGCUUCUUAGUAGUUCCUGUAUAAGUUCAUAUCAACCUCAAUUUACUAUAAAUUUAGCUAUAGCCAAGACAAUAAAUUUAGCUAUAUAAAUGCAAUUAAUUUAUAUCUCAAUUUGAUUUUUUAUCUUCAA
Non-coding RNA from Hydra vulgaris (swiftwater hydra), 1055 nucleotides. NCBI's taxonomy places the organism in Eukaryota, Metazoa, Cnidaria, Hydrozoa, Anthoathecata, Hydridae. The record is from RefSeq and is a predicted model, not a curated record.